This 2184-nucleotide ribosomal RNA is filed under the name Triticum aestivum (bread wheat). RNAcentral's name for it is "partial small subunit ribosomal RNA". Lineage: Eukaryota; Viridiplantae; Streptophyta; Magnoliopsida; Poales; Poaceae. The record is from RNAcentral.
AUGGCGGCACUGCCCUGCUUUCGCUUUGGUUUCCUCCGCCUCGCCACCUUGGUUGCCAUGCUGGUGCAACAAGCCCGUCUGGUGCCUGUGGCCAUGGCGCAAGCCAAUAACCUGACCGCGGGAGACGCCUUGACGCCGCCCCGGUACAUCACCAGCCCGUCGGGCGGCUUCGCCUUCGGCUUCCGCACCCUCGACUCCGACCCGACCAAGUUCGUCCUCGCCACAUGGUUCCGCUUCGCGGACGACGCCAACUCCUCCCAGCCGCAGCCGCAGUCCGUGGUGUGGUUCCUGAAAAAGACGACCAUGGGCACCGCGGUCGUCGCCACCGCGACGUCCGUCCUCAACAUCACGGGUGACGGCCGCCUCAGGCUCACAGACCGCGGCGACCAAGAGCUGUGGAGCGCCACGACUGGCAUGCAGCGCGGGUCCGUCCUCGCUCUGAGCGACUCUGGCAACGUCCAGUUCCUCGGUGACGGCGACAUCGUGCUCUGGAGAGCUUCCGGAACCCGACGGACACGCUGCUCCCAGGGCAGCCCUUGUCCUCGAGUUACUCGCCCGGGGGAUUCCUCGUCUCCAAGCGCGCGGACGCGGAGUUCGGGCAGCCUGGCAGUCCAGCCCGACGGCAACGUCGUCCUCUACCUCGACCUCUUCACCGCUGACUACAGAACGACCAACGCCUACUGGGCUACGCGCACCUACGGCCCCAAUGGCAACACGACCGUCACCUUUGACAACCAGGGUUUCCUCAACUACACGCUUCGAGAUGGCAGCGUUCACGGUUUGAUUUCGCCUAAAGGUUCCAACGGCGGCAACUACUUGCAGUUGGCGAGGAUGGACCCUGACGGCAUCGUCCGCACCUACACCCGCCCUAGAUACGGUAGCGGGGGCACGCCUUGGACAGUGUCGGGAGCACUCCCCGGCGACGGAGGCUGCAACAGGGUAACAUCUUCGAGGCAAGGCUUGUGCGGCCCGGGGUCUUACUGCGUGCAGACGAUAGACAGGCUCAGCUGCCUGUGCCCUACUGGGUACACCUACAUCGACGCGCAGCAGACCAAUAUCGGCUGCACGCCGGAGUUCGGCCCGUCGGCCUCCUUUUGCCUGUUCUGUCUCCUUUUGAUCACCAUCGGCGGCCUCGUGGCACAGCAUUACCUCAUCAGAACCAGUGAUAGCCAGCGGCCGUUGAACUCUGGUGUGAGAGUAUUCAGCUGGAAGGAGCUCUACCAAGCCACCAAUGGCUUCGACAGUCUGCUGGGCAAAGGGAGCUUCGGGGAGGUCUACAAAGGGACGAUAAGAUCGCCGCAGCCGCACCUCAUCGCGGUGAAGAAGCUCAUCAACUCCAACGAGUACAGUGAGCAGGAAUUCACAAAUGAGGUGCAGUCCAUCGGGCAGAUCCACCACCGGAACCUGGUCCGUAUGAUUGGCUACUGCAAAGAAGGCAGACACCGGAUGUUGGUCUUCGAGUUCAUGCCGGGCGGGUCACUCCGCAGCGUCCUCUUCGUCGACCAAGAGAGGCGCCCCCCGUGGUGCUGGCGUGCCGAGGCCGCCCUUGCCAUCACUCGUGGGCUUGAGUACCUCCACGAUGGCUGCAGCGCCCCUAUCAUCCACUGCGACAUCAAGCCCGACAACAUCCUGCUUGACGACCGUGGCGUCCCAAGGAUCACCGACUUUGGGAUCUCCAAGCUGCUGGGGAGCCAGCAAGUGCACACCACAGUGACCAACGUCAGGGGCACCAGAGGGUACAUCGCGCCCGAGUGGCUCCGCAGCGAUGCGCGUGUGGACACCAAGGCGGACGUGUAUAGCUUCGGCGUCGUGCUCCUGGAGCUGAUUUGCUGCCGGAGGUGCCAGGAGCGCGUGGUGCAUGACAGGUUGUCAGCAGACGCGGGAGAUGACGACGAGACAGUCACGCUGUUUGGUUGGGCGGCGCAGCUGGUGGUAGCACGGAGGACUGAGCUGAUGUUGGACGGCGACCCGGACGUUGAGACCGUGGGGGACAAGCAGAGGGUGGAGCAGUUUGCGCGCGUGGCGCUGUGGUGCAUGGAGCCCAACCCGCUGCUGCGGCCAACCAUGCACCAGGUAGUGCAAAUGCUGGAGACCAGGAAUCAGGCUCAGAUUCAGGCACUCCCUGACCGUCCGGACUGUUACAUAGAAUCCUCACCUUUAAUUCCUCAGCUCAAGAUUGAAUGA